UACAGAGGUCUCAAGCGUUGUUCGGAUUCAUUGGGCGUAAAGGGUGCGUAGGCGGCGCGGUAAGUCGGGUGUGAAAUCUCGGGGCUUAACUCCGAAACUGCAUUCGAUACUGCCGUGCUUGAGGACUGGAGAGGAGACUGGAAUUUACGGUGUAGCGGUGAAAUGCGUAGAUAUCAUAAGGAAGACCAGUGGCGAAGGCGGGUCUCUGGACAGUUCCUGACGCUGAGGCACGAAGGCCAGGGGAGCAAACGGG
RNAcentral lists this ribosomal RNA (253 nucleotides) under uncultured bacterium. RNAcentral describes it as "partial 16S ribosomal RNA". It matches the Rfam family "Bacterial small subunit ribosomal RNA", at positions 524 to 776 of the family's 1533-position model. The record is from RNAcentral.